Molecule: ribosomal RNA, 870 nt
Filed under: uncultured Planctomycetales bacterium
Lineage: Bacteria; Pseudomonadati; Planctomycetota; Planctomycetia; Planctomycetales
Description: SSU rRNA
Rfam family: Bacterial small subunit ribosomal RNA
Source: RNAcentral
GCUCAGAAUGAACGUUGGCGGCGUGGAUUAGGCAUGCAAGUCGAGCGAGAAGCUAUUAAUUGAAGCUUCGGCUGAUUUUUUUAGUGGACAGCGGCGCAUGGGAGAGUAACGCGUGGAGACCUACCCCAGGGUUCGGAAUAGCGUCGGGAAACUGACGGUAAUACCGGAUAUUAUCCCCGGAUGAAAGAUUUAUCGCCCCGGGAGGGCUCCGCGUCCUAUUAGCUUGUUGGUGGGGUAAUGGCCUACCAAGGCAAUGAUGGGUAGCGGGUGUGAGAGCAUGACCCGUCUCACUGGGACUGAAACACUGCCCAGACACCUACGGGUGGCUGCAGUCGAGAAUCUUCGGCAAUGGGCGAAAGCCUGACCGAGCGACGCCGCGUGCGGGAUGAAGGCCUUCGGGUUGUAAACCGCUGUCAGAGGGGAAGAAAGCUUCGGCUUGACUGAUCCUCAGAGGAAGCACGGGCUAAGUUCGUGCCAGCAGCCGCGGUAACACGAACCGUGCGAACGUUAUUCGGAAUCACUGGGCUUAAAGGGUACGUAGGCGGUCUUGCAAGUGGGGUGUGAAAUCCCCCGGCUCAACCGGGGAACUGCGCUCCAAACUGCAAGACUUGAGGGAGAUAGAGGUGAGCGGAACUGAUGGUGGAGCGGUGAAAUGCGUUGAGAUCAUCAGGAACACCAGAGGCGAAGGCGGCUCACUGGAUCUCUUCUGACGCUGAGGUACGAAAGCUAGGGUAGCGAACGGGAUUAGAUACCCCGGUAGUCCUAGCUGUAAACGAUGAGCACUGGGUCGAGGAGCCUUCCACAGUUUCUCGGCCGUAGCGAAAGUGUUAAGUGCUCCGCCUGGGGAGUAUGGUCGCAAGGCUGAACUCA